This 646-nucleotide long non-coding RNA is filed under the name Salvia miltiorrhiza (redroot sage). Its description in RNAcentral is "long non-coding RNA (SMIL_LNC005557)". Lineage: Eukaryota; Viridiplantae; Streptophyta; Magnoliopsida; Lamiales; Lamiaceae. The record is from RNAcentral.
AUUAAUAAAACCCUACUUUUGCUUUUGUGCGUGUGACUGGAAUUUGGGGGGGAUGAGUCUCCUGUCCUUGUGUGUCCGAGUCAGGGGAGGGAGUGAGACAGCCGGCGGCUGCUCACGGCCGGCAACGGCGCGGCGGCAGGCGGCGCUCAGUCCCUGUUCUGCCAGAAAACAAGAGAGGAGAGGAGAGAGUUUAGGAUUUCAGUUUUCAAAUAAAAAAAAGAGAGAGAAAGGGGAGGACAGAGAGAAAAGGGGGAGAAACUUACCUAUUUCCGGUGGCGACGCGGCGGCAGAAGCACCACGGCUGCUGCUGUCGGCCAAAGGAGAAAGAGAGGCAGGGCAGUGGUGGCGCCGGAUCCGGAAAAGGAGGGCGCGGCCGCUGCUGCCCGGCCACGGCUGGAGAGAGAGAGAGGCCGGAGAUUUGAGGGAGAGGUGGUCUGGUCCGGGCACGAUGGAGUAGCAGCGGAGGUGGAGCCUGUCGUGGUCGCCGUUGCUCCAGCGAGCUCCAGCGGCCGUGAGAGCAGUCGAGAGGGAGAGAGACUGGCGGCGGCAGCGAGCUGUUGUCGUCGGAAGGAGGAGGGAAUCGGUGGUUUCAGGGAAGCUAGGUCAGGCGGCGGUGGCUGUUUCUGACUGCGGCGGCCGUGGGUUC